Molecule: ribosomal RNA, 477 nt
Filed under: Triticum aestivum (bread wheat)
Lineage: Eukaryota; Viridiplantae; Streptophyta; Magnoliopsida; Poales; Poaceae
Description: partial small subunit ribosomal RNA
Source: RNAcentral
AUGAACCCCGCCGCCUCCCUCUCUCCCACGCCGGCGCCGCCCUUGCCUCGCGCCGGCAGCUGCCAAACCCUGCACGGCGGCCUCCUCCCUCCCCUGCACUCCGGUCAACUUCCUCUUCGCACGACGACCUCCUCCCAACCCCACGCUCCGGCCGCCUUCCUCCCCGUGCUUCGGCCUCCUUCCUUCCCCGCCUCCGGUAGCCUUCCUCCCCGCGCUCCGGCCGCCUUCCUCGCCGCGCUCCGGCCUCCUCCCUCCCCCGACUCCGGUCACCUUCCUCCCCGCGCUCCGGCCGCCUUCCUCCCUGAGAUUCGCCCACCUUCCACCCCCGAGAUCCCAGCGCCGGCGCCCAACCCCUCCGUCUGUGAGCUAGGGGACUGGGACGCCCUCCUCGCCGCGGCGUCAUUGCUGGCCGUCAGCGGCGGAAGCGGGGUGGCGGCCGGGACCUUGUCGUGCUCAUCUCCGACUACUGUAAAGUAA